Calliphora vicina (urban bluebottle blowfly) is the source of this 441-nucleotide long non-coding RNA. RefSeq lists it as uncharacterized. Lineage: Eukaryota; Metazoa; Arthropoda; Insecta; Diptera; Calliphoridae. The transcript is spliced from 3 exons. The record is from RefSeq and is a predicted model, not a curated record.
AAUUCAUAGAUCGGCAUCAAUCUACAAUUGUUUAUUGAACUAAAUUAAUCUCAAGCAAAAUGAAGUUGUUUUAUUUGUUGGUUAUUUGUGCUUUGUGUAUGGCGGCCAUGGUAAAGGCUCAAAAAAGCCUUUAAAGUUGACUUUGCCUAAAGAAGAACCGAAAAAUUUGCCUCAACUUAGUGGCGGCGGUGGUGGUUCUCGCAAACAGGGAUUUGAUGUAAGCUUGGAUGCCCGCCAAAAGGUUUGGGAGAGUCAAAAUAAACGUCAUUCAGUUGAUGUCAACGCUGGUUAUGGUCAACAUUUGGGUGGUCCUUAUGGCAACAGUCGUCCCGAUUAUCGUGGCGGCGUUGGUUACACUUAUAGAUUUGGUAAAUCUGGUUAAUUAUUGUACAAUUCAUGAUAAUAAUAAAAAAAGUAUUAAAACUUCAUGACUAUUAAAAA